UACGAAGGGGGCUAGCGUUGCUCGGAAUCACUGGGCGUAAAGCGCACGUAGGCGGCUUGUUAAGUCAGGGGUGAAAUCCUGGAGCUCAACUCCAGAACUGCCUUUGAUACUGGCGAGCUUGAGUUCGGGAGAGGUGAGUGGAACUGCGAGUGUAGAGGUGAAAUUCGUAGAUAUUCGCAAGAACACCAGUGGCGAAGGCGGCUCACUGGCCCGAUACUGACGCUGAGGUGCGAAAGCGUGGGAGC
Molecule: ribosomal RNA, 245 nt
Filed under: uncultured bacterium
Lineage: Bacteria
Description: partial 16S ribosomal RNA
Rfam family: Bacterial small subunit ribosomal RNA
Source: RNAcentral